AGUCCUCUGAGUCCGUGCUGAGAUUUCGUCAGACACCAGACCACCAGCACUAAUGGGACUCUCAAGAUAAGUGAAGCG
This is a non-coding RNA of Schistosoma rodhaini, 78 nucleotides long. NCBI's taxonomy places the organism in Eukaryota, Metazoa, Platyhelminthes, Trematoda, Strigeidida, Schistosomatidae. The record is from Rfam.